CAUAGCGACUAUCGUGGCAUAUCAAUAAGCGGAGGAAAAGAAACUAACAAGGAUUCCCCUAGUAACGGCGAGUGAAGCGGGAAGAGCUCAAAUUUGAAAUCUUAAAGGUUCUACCUUGACGAAUUGUAGUUUAUAGAAGUGUUUUCUGUUAGUAGAGUGGCAAAAGUUCUUUGGAAUAGGACAUCAUAGAGGGUGAGAAUCCCGUAUUUGGUCAUUCUUUCUAGCUUUGUGAUACACUUUCAACGAGUCGGAUUGUUUGGGAAUGCAGUCCAAAAUGGGUGGUAAAUUUCAUCUAAAGCUAAAUAUUGGCGAGAGACCGAUAGCGAACAAGUACCGUGAGGGAAAGAUGAAAAGAACUUUGAAAAGAGAGUUAAACAGUACGUGAAAUUGUCAAAAGGGAAGCGUUUGACACCAGUGUUGUUUUUCCGAAAAUCAAUUACGAAUGUUUUAUUUUUGAGAAGUUAUGACUUCAUCGGCUUGCUUCUCUCUUUAUGAAACUUUCUUAAUGCACUUUUCGGUUAACAAGUCAACAUCAAUUUCUUUUGUUGUAAAAGGGUAUGAGGAAGGUGGCUUUCUUUUCGGAGAAAGUGUUUAUAGCCUUUGAUCUCUGCAACCGGAGAGACUGAGGUCUGCAGCGUAGACUCUUCGGGGUUAAAUACAUUUGUGCUAAGCUAUAGCUUUUUAUAGACAACUUGUUGACUAUAUUUAGUCUUGUGGCUUACUCGCUUAUGCUAUUUUACCUACGCUUAGGAUGUUGAUAGUCACAGCGUGUAC
Molecule: ribosomal RNA, 774 nt
Filed under: uncultured Neocallimastigales
Lineage: Eukaryota; Fungi; Neocallimastigomycota; Neocallimastigomycetes; Neocallimastigales
Description: partial large subunit ribosomal RNA
Rfam family: Eukaryotic large subunit ribosomal RNA
Source: RNAcentral